This 498-nucleotide ribosomal RNA is filed under the name uncultured bacterium. RNAcentral's name for it is "partial 16S ribosomal RNA". It matches the Rfam family "Bacterial small subunit ribosomal RNA", at positions 29 to 523 of the family's 1533-position model. The record is from RNAcentral.
AGUGAACGCUGGCGGUAGGCCUAACACAUGCAAGUCGAACGGUAACAGGUCUUCGGAUGCUGACGAGUGGCGAACGGGUGAGUAAUACAUCGGAACGUGCCUAGCAGUGGGGGAUAACUACUCGAAAGAGUGGCUAAUACCGCAUGAGAUCUACGGAUGAAAGCAGGGGAUCGCAAGACCUUGUGCUACUAGAGCGGCCGAUGGCAGAUUAGGUAGUUGGUGGGAUAACAGCUUACCAAGCCGACGAUCUGUAGCUGGUCUGAGAGGACGAUCAGCCACACUGGGACUGAGACACGGCCCAGACUCCUACGGGAGGCAGAAGUGGGGAAUUUUGGACAAUGGGCGCAAGCCUGAUCCAGCAAUGCCGCGUGCAGGAUGAAGGCCUUCGGGUUGUAAACUGCUUUUGUACGGAACGAAAAGCCCCGGGUUAAUACCCUGGGGUCAUGACGGUACCGUAAGAAUAAGCACCGGCUAACUACGUGCCAGCAGCCGCGGUAA